RNAcentral lists this transfer RNA (68 nucleotides) under Marmota monax (woodchuck). RNAcentral describes it as "tRNA.Ala". The record is from RNAcentral. Lineage: Eukaryota; Metazoa; Chordata; Mammalia; Rodentia; Sciuridae.
GGUUUGUGGCUCAGUGGUAGAACGCUCACCUCGCACGUAGGAGACCAUGGGUUCAAUCCUCAGCACCA